CGGCGCUUGCGGCUUUUUGCCCGGGCGACGUGCAGAAAUGCUGAUUUGUCUGUGGCAUAAAGUAGAAAAGCCCCGAAGUUAAUUUUCAUUAACCCCGAGGCCUACCCUAUGCUUCACAACAUCAGGAUAGCCUCUUACCUGCCUCAAGGCAAGGAGAAGACGGUCAUG
Molecule: antisense RNA, 168 nt
Filed under: Erwinia sp. Leaf53
Lineage: Bacteria; Pseudomonadati; Pseudomonadota; Gammaproteobacteria; Enterobacterales; Erwiniaceae
Description: sok antitoxin (CssrC)
Rfam family: sok antitoxin (CssrC)
About the family: Also identified in Shigella as CssrC.
Source: Rfam by way of RNAcentral